CUUGUCGGUGAUGAUUUACUCUGUAUAUUUCGAGUUUUAAAUGACCAUGAGAAUACUUUACAUGCACUACCAUCUGAGACAUC
Small nucleolar RNA from Larimichthys crocea (large yellow croaker), 83 nucleotides. NCBI's taxonomy places the organism in Eukaryota, Metazoa, Chordata, Actinopteri, Sciaenidae. The record is from Ensembl.